This 168-nucleotide ribosomal RNA is filed under the name Parioglossus dotui. RNAcentral's name for it is "partial 12S rRNA". Lineage: Eukaryota; Metazoa; Chordata; Actinopteri; Gobiiformes; Gobiidae. The record is from RNAcentral.
CACCGCGGUUAUACGAGCGGCCCGAGUUGACAGACAUCGGCGUAAAGGGUGGUUAACGCAUAAAAAACUAAGGCCGAACACCUUCACGGCUGUCACACGCAUCCGAAGGUAGGAAGAACCCCUACGAAAGUGGCCUUAACCACUUAUGAAUCCACGAAAGCUAGGAGA